GUGGUCCUUUCACCCUGCAGCUCAGUGUCCUGUGACCACAGGCACGUGGGCCCUGCCCUGAGCGCCUCACACCAACCCGAGGCGGGAGGAGGAGGAGGGCGUCCUGAGAGUGCCCUGUCAAGCAAAAACUCUAAGAGAAAAAGCCAGGCUGACCCAGGAGAGGCCUGAGGGAGGGGAGUGGAGAUGAGGCUCGGCCACCCCAGGGCUGCCCGGUGCUGGGGGAGAAGACGCUGAGAAGAGGAGGAGAAUGGGGAGGAAGGGACGGACACCCCAAGAGCACGCAGGCUGAAGACUGGGCUGCCUCCCCGGAGACCGACCAGCCUGCCCUAGGAAUCAUAUUCUGCACUGGAAGAAGCCUUGAGAGUUGCCUGGCCCAGAGGUCACAAACCAGAGCCCUGCGGGCUGAGCUCUACCCACAGUGCAGUUAUCAGUCACCGUGUAGCGGUCACCGACGGCCACAUUAAUGCUGCGUAACAAACAGCCUCAGAGCCCACCGUUGUGUGUCGCCAGGCGGUGCUGUCCAUGCCCAGGCCCCAAGAAAGGCAGGGGAAAGGCUGAGCUGGGCCUGUGCCCUCUGUCCCUUCCUAUGAGCCUCUAGAGCAAAGCUUUGCUGAAGGCUGUUGUCUGAACCAAGGCCACAGAGGAAGCACGCUCCCUGCUCCCACUUUGCCCCUCGUACCCGCCUGAGGGCAUCUUAAUUAAGCCUUCCUUCCCCACGCUCAGAAAAAUAAAUACUUGGGA
Molecule: long non-coding RNA, 741 nt
Filed under: Homo sapiens (human)
Lineage: Eukaryota; Metazoa; Chordata; Mammalia; Primates; Hominidae
Description: HSALNT0226329
Source: RNAcentral